GACGAACGCUGGCGGCGUGCUUAAUACAUGCAAGUCGAACGGAAAGGCCCUGCUUUUGUGGGGUUCUCGAGUGGCGAACGGGUGUGUAACACGUGAGUAACCUGCCCUUGACUUUGGGAUAACUUCAGGAAACUGGGGCUAAUACCGCAUAGGAGCUCCUGCUGCAUGGUGGUGGUUGGUAAGUUUCGGCGGUUGGGGAUGGACUCGCGGGUUAUGGGCUUGUUGGUGGGGUAGUGGCUUCCAAAGGUUUUGAAGGGUAGCCGGCAUGGGAGGGUGACCGGGGACAAGGGGACUAAGAGACGGACCAGAAGCGUACGUGACGCAACAGUGGGAAAUAUGGCGCAGUGAGCGGAAGCGUGAGACAGCAACGCCGGGAGCGGGAUGACGGCUUUCGGGGGGUGAACAGCUGUCGCCUGAGACAAAGCGGGAGUGACGGUAAUGGGUAAAAAAGCACCGGCUAACUACGUG
Molecule: ribosomal RNA, 468 nt
Filed under: uncultured bacterium
Lineage: Bacteria
Description: partial 16S ribosomal RNA
Rfam family: Bacterial small subunit ribosomal RNA
Source: RNAcentral